GUUGCCUCGGAUGGCAGUAAAGUCGUCCAGGGCUUCGGCCGCGCUCCCCUCGUCCAGGUUCAGCUCCUGGCACAGGGCCUGUAGCGCCUCCCCGGCUGCGGCGACCACCGCCGCCCCCUCAGCGUAGGGCUUGUCCUCGAACAUCCCUUCAGGCCCCGCGGGCUGCGCGCCACGGCCCCCGACUUCUUUCUCCCUCCCAGGCGCGCUACCCACAACCACCUGCGCCAAAGCGCGCGAAAAUCUGCAGUUGCGGAACGUCUUGUCAUCCACCGUCUGCCUCCGCUUUUCUCCUCAAAAAAAGUCCGUUUUUCCUCCGGAGCUCCUAGCAGUCCCUCCCCGGAAAUGUGAUAAGAAGAUGGACCUCAGAUUCUGAAAGACCUGUCCUUGGCCCUUGGCUGGUCGCGGGGGGCCCAGCCGGCGGGACAGAAAAAGAGCGGAGGGAUCCUCAGCCCGCGCGCGGAGCCUGCUGGGAGGUGUAGUCCAUCGCUUGGGAGAUGAAGCCCGCGGCCUCCCCCGUCUUCCUGGUUAGGCUCUUGGGUUUUGGGGCAGGGCUGGGCUGCCUACUGCCAGGUGGCCUCAUGCAGCGUAGUGAGAUGCCUCCUCUAUCCACGGGCCCUGGGUUUGUCACUGUCCCUGGGCGCCAAACAUAAUCUGACUGAGCUGUACCCCUUGAGUUAGGAGAUGGAGGCUGGACGAAGAGGGGCCUCUUGGGACUCUCCCCAAAGUCCUAGUGCCCAGUGAGUGGUUCGCUAAAUGACAGAGGGGAAGGACUGGUGACGGAUAUUAGAAGACGAAUCCUCAUCUCAUGCUAGUCGCUAAAAGAGGCAGGCAGAGAAGACUGCAGUAAAUGAGGCAGGAGAAUAGGGUCUGGAUGCAGGGAACCUAUGGCUGUUUCACGUGACUUCUUAGACCUAAAUUGAAAGGAAAACCCCAACUUUCCACGCCUAAGUAACAAAAGAACCAGAGGCUGUUCCCUUGGACCUUUUCUGCAUGGCAGAUGGGAAAUUGGCUGUCUGCAACAAAUCACACUGAGCGCCUUCCAGUCUUCGUUUGCAACUUUGUAACUUCACUCCAGCCUCUGAACCGUUGCUGUCCACAACCAAUCAGACUGAUGGCGGGAGAGUCUUCCUUUGCAUAGAAGUAUAAUUUUGUAACUUCACCCUGGCCUCUGAUUGGUUGCUUUCUGCAACCACUCAGACUGAUUGUGGGCUACCACUUCAGUUACAUCAAGAGAGCAUAAAGUGGCCAAUGGGAAACUUCUAGAGGGUAUUUGGACCCCAGAAGAUUCUGUGUCUGGGCCCUUGAGCUGCUGCGUGGGUUCGCUUCCCCACUAUGGAGUGUACUUUUGUUUUCAAUAAAUCCCUGUCUUCGUUC
RNAcentral lists this non-coding RNA (1374 nucleotides) under Pan troglodytes (chimpanzee). Lineage: Eukaryota; Metazoa; Chordata; Mammalia; Primates; Hominidae. The record is from RNAcentral.